This is a long non-coding RNA of Lolium rigidum, 465 nucleotides long. RefSeq lists it as uncharacterized. The transcript has 3 exons. The record is from RefSeq and is a predicted model, not a curated record. NCBI's taxonomy places the organism in Eukaryota, Viridiplantae, Streptophyta, Magnoliopsida, Poales, Poaceae.
UGGGGCUCAAGGCGGACUCGCCACCGCCGCACACCACCACUCUCCUCCCGCCGGACUCGCCUCGCCUCCGCUCCGCCAGAGAUCUCGUUGCCCCUUCUACGUGGAUGUCUUUGGGGUGGCAUUGGACACAACAACAAGUACUGAGCAGAGAUCACUACAAUGCAAUGGGUCACUGUAGUACAAAUAUUGUCAGUUCACUUUAUCUUGGUUGAGGUGCAUGGUGGCCAGCGACAAGCUCACUGAGCAGGGAUGGUCUGCGAGCAGGAGCACGGAGCGCCGACAUGUGAUGAUUGGGGUUCACCCAAACCCACAGGUGGAUAGUUGGGAUACUGCUGGGGCGAUGUUGCUGCUCCAGCUAGUCUUGCGAUGGAUGUUUUCUGUAUGAUAUGAAUCUGUUGUCAGUGUCUUUCUUGUAUAUAUAUCUGAUUUGUGGAAAUAUUGUAAUAUAUUCAGUUACUGCUCUUA